GACGAAUGCUGGCGGCGUGCCUAAUACAUGCAAGUUGAGCGCUGAAGGUUGGUACUUGUACCAACUGGAUGAGCAGCGAACGGGUGAGUAACGCGUGGGGAAUCUGCCUUUGAGCGGGGGACAACAUUUGGAAACGAAUGCUAAUACCGCAUAAAAACUUUAAACACAAGUUUUAAGUUUGAAAGAUGCAAUUGCAUCACUCAAAGAUGAUCCCGCGUUGUAUUAGCUAGUUGGUGAGGUAAAGGCUCACCAAGGCGAUGAUACAUAGCCGACCUGAGAGGGUGAUCGGCCACAUUGGGACUGAGACACGGCCCAAACUCCUACGGGAGGCAGCAGUAGGGAAUCUUCGGCAAUGGACGAAAGUCUGACCGAGCAACGCCGCGUGAGUGAAGAAGGUUUUCGGAUCGUAAAACUCUGUUGGUAGAGAAGAACGUUGGUGAGAGUGGAAAGCUCAUCAAGUGACGGUAACUACCCAGAAAGGGACGGCUAACUACGUG
This 497-nucleotide ribosomal RNA is filed under the name uncultured bacterium. RNAcentral's name for it is "partial 16S ribosomal RNA". It matches the Rfam family "Bacterial small subunit ribosomal RNA", at positions 28 to 507 of the family's 1533-position model. The record is from RNAcentral.